RNAcentral lists this long non-coding RNA (450 nucleotides) under Meriones unguiculatus (Mongolian gerbil). Its description in RNAcentral is "lncRNA (ENSMUGG00000009297.1)". Lineage: Eukaryota; Metazoa; Chordata; Mammalia; Rodentia; Muridae. The record is from RNAcentral.
UGGCAAGACUAAUUUGUCACGAAAUUUAGCUCAGCUGGCCGAGUGCCUUCUCAGUUUCAAAAGGACGCGUUUCCAGGAUUUAGUAGCCUCUCAUCCUCUGUGUGGACCCACUCCUCGCGGCUGUACAGUGAACAGUUUAAGCAGAGCGGUGUUCCAGGGAAGCCUCGGAGUUGAACAGACUGAAAUCCACAUGAGGCGGUAUGGGAAGGACAUCUCUGCAGUUGCUAAGAGCAACAAGGUGGGUUUCCAUUGGUCAGUGUUGUUUGACAAUUAGCCCAUCUCACAUUUUUCCGUAGAUGCCGUCUUGAGAACCAAGUAAGGAUGUGCAACAGAGGCCGAGAAUUGUCCUAGAAUGCGCCCCCUGGGGCUUCACUUUAGAACUGGGGUUAGCCAUGAGUAAUGACCAGCUUCUCCUGGUUGCUUUAUGUCCCAGCCUCUGGCAGCAUUAAG